Non-coding RNA from Ictidomys tridecemlineatus (thirteen-lined ground squirrel), 601 nucleotides. The record is from RefSeq and is a predicted model, not a curated record. Lineage: Eukaryota; Metazoa; Chordata; Mammalia; Rodentia; Sciuridae.
UCCACACUUGUGAGGUGCCACACCCUUUUUUAUAGGCUUACCUCAAGUCCCUGUUCAGGCACCAGCUGCAUGGCCUCUCUCUCAUCCAGCAAGGAGGUCCAUGGAACAAGGUAGAGGAGAAUGUGGCUGCAGAGUCACAAAUCAAGACCUCCGAAGACCAAGCUGGAAGCAGAAAUGACUGGCAUGUGGGACAGCAAACUGUGGAGUGGAGUAGACCCAACUUAAAUUUGGGCAGCACUGUCCAAUACACUGGGGAUUUGGAUGAAGCUAAAAGGCAGAAGAAUACAGAAGCAGCAGCAUAAGGAAGCAGCAGCAUAAGCAAGCAUGAUUCUUCUUGAUCACGUGCUUCUAGUGAUGCUGUGAUUACCAGAGGACAUCAGAUUCCAGAUUCUUCCUAGGCAGACUGACAACUACCCAAGGAGUUUCCAGUCCUUUGGACCAGAUUGGGACUUCAUCAUUGGUCCCUCUCAUUCUGAGGUUCCAGGUGCUUGGACUGAGAAGGUUCUGGUUCUUCCAACUUACUAACCUGCGGAAGGAUGUUGUAGUAUCCUCCAGCUUCUUGUGUCAACCAAUCUAAUAAAUCCCACAUAUAUCUUCUUGA